UUUAAUUCUUACUGUUAGUAAAGUACUUUCAAGUUGAUAAACAUAAAGUGUUAACCAGUUCAAUGACUGACCCUGGACAGAAAUAUGUAGUGCUGACUGUGAGAAAAAAUCAGCUCAGAUUCAGCUUCUGCAGUUUGAUCUAUGCCAGUAUGAGUUCCAUGAAAUUGUCUUUGGUUCAUGAAGGUGGCUAUGGUGAAAUAAAAAUUUGAGAAACCACUGCUCUAGAGCUACUACACCAACAGCAAAUAGGCUUGCAAACUUUCAAAAACUAGUUCCUUUUUGAUCAGGGACACAAGUAUCUUAUAACAACUAUAGGAGCAUGACACAACUCCCAGCACAGCUGACUCCCUCUAUGUAGCUUAGCCCAAAAUUAUUUCUUGAUUGGCACUUCUGGUGAGGCAACAGCAUGUAUUGAUCAGGCUGGUGGAGUUCAAAAUAUUAAACUAGUUUAGAACAGACAUUUUAGACCCUGGAAACAAAAUGGCAGCAAUUUUUACCAGAUUUAAGGACAUCAACAGAACUUUAGAGUACAAAAGGACUACAGAGCAAACACGGAAGCAUCUCAUCGGAUCUCUAAUCCUUUACUCUGUUUUCCUGUAUGUUAUAGUUGCUGUUGUCUUUUAUUUCUGGUAUUUUCCCAAUACAUUACUGGAUGGGCUUGUGCAUUCUUUACCCCUCUUUAUUUUUCCUCUUCUAAAAGUGAGGAAAAAAUUCCUGCUUCUGGUCGAAAAGGAUCAUAUCUCCAGAGAUGGAGUUGCGUCGUAGGUCAGCUGCUUCAAGAGGAAUUUCCACAGUCUCCCAUCCAAGAUUAAGUGCUGUUAGGCCUAGUUACCCUGCUAUACAAAUGUACAGUCCGUACUCUACCUUUAUAAAUAUGCCUCAUCAGAAUAGACAGU
This 896-nucleotide unclassified non-coding RNA is filed under the name Limulus polyphemus (Atlantic horseshoe crab). RNAcentral's name for it is "protein lunapark-like, transcript variant X3". Lineage: Eukaryota; Metazoa; Arthropoda; Merostomata; Xiphosura; Limulidae. The record is from RNAcentral.